UUUACUACACCUCCAUUUAUCCUUCUUGAUUGCAUUGACUCGUUCUGUGAUGAUAGGUUUCCCCUCCAAGACUUCUUCUAUGUCCAAUAGCCGGGAUGUUUUGACUAGUGUAAAUGGGGUUACUCCCUUCUCCCUGAAUGAUCACCUCCUGACAAUUCCAUUCGAACUUCACGGCUUGAUGUAAUAUGGAAGGCAUGGCUCCAACAACAUGGAUCUAUGGCCGGCACAACAGAAAAUUAUACGAGACUGGUAUGUCAAGCACCUGAAACUUGACGUCGAACUAAGUUGGCCCCAUCUGCAAGAAAAGAUUGAUUUCCCUGAUUGUGGCCCUUUGGGAUCCAUUGAAAGCUUUGACGUUCACACUUCCUAUCCGUAUUUCAUGGAAACCUUUGUCCAACCUUUUCAGAGUGUCUAAUGG
This 418-nucleotide long non-coding RNA is filed under the name Nicotiana benthamiana. Its description in RNAcentral is "long non-coding RNA (NBEN_LNC008765)". Lineage: Eukaryota; Viridiplantae; Streptophyta; Magnoliopsida; Solanales; Solanaceae. The record is from RNAcentral.